UACGAAGGUCCCAAGCGUUGUUCGGAAUCACUGGGCGUAAAGGGGGCGUAGGCGGCGUGGUAAGUCAGAUGUGAAAUCCCGGGGCUCAACCCCGGAACUGCAUCCGAUACUGCCAUGCUUGAGGGUUGGAGAGGUAGCUGGAAUUCCGCGUGUAGCAGUGAAAUGCGUAGAUAUGCGGAGGAACACCGAUGGCGAAGGCAAUCCCCUGGGCCUGCACUGACGCUCAUGCACGAAAGCGUGGGGAGCAAACAGG
This 253-nucleotide ribosomal RNA is filed under the name uncultured prokaryote. Its description in RNAcentral is "partial 16S ribosomal RNA". It matches the Rfam family "Bacterial small subunit ribosomal RNA", at positions 524 to 776 of the family's 1533-position model. The record is from RNAcentral.